UUUUUCUCCCUUCCAAGAAUUCAGUGGCUUGACUUGAGUUGGAACGGCAUAUCUGGAUGGGUUCAAAGCAAAGGUCCGUAUCUUCUUCUUUAUUUGUAGUUUCAAUAUUGUGGAUCAUUUUUAGGAUUAUCAUCUCUUCCAAGCAAUUCUUUUUACAUGCAGUUUACAGAAACUACCAGAUUGAGGUUCUUGAUUUAGGUGUAACUUCCUCAAUAAUAGCAUAUUUUCAUCGUUAUCUGGCCUCACUUCAUUAAAAACACUAAUCUUAUCGUAAUAGAUUGAAUGGAACUGUAAUUGUUCAAGGAGUUGAAUCGUUGAGGAACUUAGGGGAGCUGGAUUUGAGUGGAAACCAGAUUGGCAAAUUUGUUUUUCCUAAAGAUUUCAAAGGUUUGAGAAAGUUGAAUGCCUUUAUCUAGAGAAUCUCAAAAAUAUUGAUGGAAGCACUUUGUUACAGUCAUUGGGGUCAUUCUCAUUCUUAAAGAAACUUGACUUGAGCUAUAGUAAUUUCAGACGUGGAACAAUGACUACUCAAGAGUUGAAGAAUUUGACCAAUGUGGAAGACUUGAUCUUGGAUUAUUCCUCUCUUCACAUAACCAUUCUUCGAAGCUUUGGAGCUUUCACUUCGCUUAAACGUUUGUCGAUGAAGAACUGUAAACUUAGUGGCAUCUUGCACAA
This is a long non-coding RNA of Pistacia vera, 675 nucleotides long. RefSeq lists it as uncharacterized. The transcript has 4 exons. Lineage: Eukaryota; Viridiplantae; Streptophyta; Magnoliopsida; Sapindales; Anacardiaceae. The record is from RefSeq and is a predicted model, not a curated record.